RNAcentral lists this long non-coding RNA (302 nucleotides) under Hordeum vulgare. RNAcentral describes it as "long non-coding RNA (HVUL_LNC015918)". The record is from RNAcentral. Lineage: Eukaryota; Viridiplantae; Streptophyta; Magnoliopsida; Poales; Poaceae.
AGAGGAAUGAGAAAGAAAGAGGUAAAACUUAGUUGCUUCUUGAAAAACGAGUGAAAACAACAAUCGUUGAAGUUUGCAAAUAGAUGAAGAAUGACAUGAGGAACAAGCAAGAAUUUAAAAGAAAUUUGGGCAGCACGUCGGUAGGAAAUAGAGGCAAAACUUGAUAAGAUGGAAUAUCUUGAAAAGAAGACACAACAUUACGGUUAAAUGGAAAAACUAGGGAAGAACAUGACCUUGAUAAAACAAGAUAAUGAAUGAAAGAGAGGAACAUCACAAAGCCUUCAGAAUAAAACAAUAAAAAC